RNAcentral lists this ribosomal RNA (266 nucleotides) under Salmonella enterica subsp. enterica serovar Saintpaul. Its description in RNAcentral is "partial 23S ribosomal RNA". It matches the Rfam family "Bacterial large subunit ribosomal RNA", at positions 505 to 672 of the family's 2925-position model. Lineage: Bacteria; Pseudomonadati; Pseudomonadota; Gammaproteobacteria; Enterobacterales; Enterobacteriaceae. The record is from RNAcentral.
GAGGGAAAGGCGAAAAGAACCCCGGCGAGGGGAGUGAAAAAGAACCUGAAACCGUGUACGUACAAGCAGUGGGAGCCCCACCACUAAGCCAGUGGUGAACUCCACAUCCGCAUCCUUUGCUGAGGAUACGGUUAACGGAGCGAAAGCGACGUUCAACCGCAAAACAAGCAGAGGGGGCUUAGUGGUGGGGUGACUGCGUACCUUUUGUAUAAUGGGUCAGCGACUUAUAUUCUGUAGCAAGGUUAACCGAAUAGGGGAGCCGGAGG